This 25-nucleotide ribosomal RNA is filed under the name Colletotrichum siamense. RNAcentral describes it as "partial 18S ribosomal RNA". The record is from RNAcentral. Lineage: Eukaryota; Fungi; Ascomycota; Sordariomycetes; Glomerellales; Glomerellaceae.
GGUGAACCAGCGGGAGGGAUCAUUA